GCGGGUUGGGGUUGCCUUUUCACAUGCAGUCGAACGGCAGCACGAGAGAGCUUGCUCUCUUGGUGGCGAGUGGCGGAGGGUGAGUAAUAUAUCGGAACGUGCCCAGUAGCGGGGGAUAACUACUCGAAAGAGUGGCUAAUACCGCAUACGCCCUACGGGGGAAAGGGGGGGAUUCUUCGGAACCUCUCACUAUUGGAGCGGCCGAUAUCGGAUUAGCUAGUUGGUGGGGUAAAGGCUCACCAAGGCAACGAUCCGUAGCUGGUUUGAGAGGACGACCAGCCACACUGGGACUGAGACACGGCCCAGACUCCUACGGGAGGCAGCAGUGGGGAAUUUUGGACAAUGGGGGAAACCCUGAUCCAGCCAUCCCGCGUGUAUGAUGAAGGCCUUCGGGUUGUAAAGUACUUUUGGCAGAGAAGAAAAGGUAUCUCCUAAUACGAGAUACUGCUGACGGUAUCUGCAGAAUAAGCACCGGCUAACUACGUGCCAGCAGCCGCGGUAAUACGUAGGGUGCAAGCGUUAAUCGGAAUUACUGGGCGUAAAGCGUGUGUAGGCGGUUCGGAAAGAAAGAUGUGAAAUCCCAGGGCUCAACCUUGGAACUGCAUUUUUAACUGCCGAGCUAGAGUAUGUCAGAGGGGGGUAGAAUUCCACGUGUAGCAGUGAAAUGCGUAGAUAUGUGGAGGAAUACCGAUGGCGAAGGCAGCCCCCUGGGAUAAUACUGACGCUCAGACACGAAAGCGUGGGGAGCAAACAGGAUUAGAUACCCUGGUAGUCCACGCCCUAAACGAUGUCAACUAGCUGUUGGGGCCGUUAGGCCUUAGUAGCGCAGCUAACGCGUGAAGUUGACCGCCUGGGGAGUACGGUCGCAAGAUUAAAACUCAAGGAAUUGACGGGGACCCGCACAAGCGGUGGAUGAUGUGGAUUAAUUCGAUGCAACGCGAAAAACCUUACCUACCCUUGACAUGUCUGGAAUGCCGAGAAGAUUUGGCAGUGCUCGCCAAGAAAAACCGGAACCACAGGUGCUGCAUGGCUGUCGUCAGCUCGCGUCGUGAGAUUGUAGCUUAAGGUCCCGCAACGAGCCCCACCCGUUGUCAAUAAUGGCUAGUCACGAACCCACUCUCUAAUGAGAUCUGCCGGUGACAAACCGGAGAGAUGGAUUGACGCUCAGGUCCUCAGUGCCAUGAUGUGGGUAUGG
RNAcentral lists this ribosomal RNA (1195 nucleotides) under Alcaligenes faecalis. Its description in RNAcentral is "bacterial SSU rRNA". It matches the Rfam family "Bacterial small subunit ribosomal RNA", at positions 35 to 1213 of the family's 1533-position model. Lineage: Bacteria; Pseudomonadati; Pseudomonadota; Betaproteobacteria; Burkholderiales; Alcaligenaceae. The record is from RNAcentral.